GUAGGUGGCAAGCGUUGUCCGGAAUUAUUGGGCGUAAAGCGCGCGCAGGCGGUUCUUUAAGUCUGAUGUGAAAGCCCACGGCUCAACCGUGGAGGGUCAUUGGAAACUGGAGAACUUGAGUACAGAAGAGGAAAGCGGAAUUCCACGUGUAGCGGUGAAAUGCGUAGAGAUGUGGAGGAACACCAGUAGCGAAGGCGGCUUUCUGGUCUAUAACUGACGCUGAGGCGCGAAAGCGUGGGGGAGCAAACAGGAUUAGAUACCCUGGUAGUCCACGCCGUAAACGAUGAGUGCUAAGUGUUAGGGGGUUUCCGCCCCUUAGUGCUGCAGCUAACGCAUUAAGCACUCCGCCUGGGAGUACGGCCGCAAGGCUG
RNAcentral lists this ribosomal RNA (371 nucleotides) under uncultured organism. RNAcentral's name for it is "partial 16S ribosomal RNA". It matches the Rfam family "Bacterial small subunit ribosomal RNA", at positions 527 to 896 of the family's 1533-position model. The record is from RNAcentral.